UCAUUCAUGGCAUAAUCAUAAUCUCAUAUAGGCAUUACGUCUGUGACAAGUAAACCAUUAAUUGAACUACAUCUACUACUAUUACUCCAUCGCAAGACAACUAUCCAACAUGCAUUUCAAAGCACUAAUUUUACAAGAAAUGGAGUAAAGCCAUAAGCAGAUGAGAUGAUGUAGAGAGAGAAAUAUAGCAAUAAGAUCAAACCCCUUCGUUUUAUCAUUAGUGGCUACAAUACAAAUAUGUGUCUUGUCCCCAUUCUGUCACAGAGAUAUAGAACACCACAAGAUUGAACCCGCUGCAACGCACCUCUCCCC
This 312-nucleotide long non-coding RNA is filed under the name Hordeum vulgare. RNAcentral's name for it is "long non-coding RNA (HVUL_LNC016806)". Lineage: Eukaryota; Viridiplantae; Streptophyta; Magnoliopsida; Poales; Poaceae. The record is from RNAcentral.